AUUGAACGCUGGCGGCAGGCCUAACACAUGCAAGUCGAGCGAGCGGCGGACGGGUGAGUAAUGUAUGGGGACUGCCCGAUAGAGGGGGAUAACUACUGGAAACGGUGGCUAAUACCGCAUACUAUCGGAUAACCCAUAUGGGAGUAGCUAGUAGGUGGGGUAAAGGCUCACCUAGGCGACGAUCUCUAGCUGGUCUGAGAGGAUGACCAGACACACUGGGAAUGAGACACGGGCCAGACUCCUACGGAGGCAGAAGUGGGGAAGAUUGGACAAUGGGCGAAAGGCUGAUGGAGCCAUGCCGCGGGUGUUAAGAAGGCCUUAGGGUUGUAAAGUACUUUCAGCGGGGAGGCGUUACCCGCAGAAGAAGCACCGGCUAACUCCGUGCCAGCAGCCGCGGUAAUUC
Molecule: ribosomal RNA, 403 nt
Filed under: uncultured bacterium
Lineage: Bacteria
Description: partial 16S ribosomal RNA
Rfam family: Bacterial small subunit ribosomal RNA
Source: RNAcentral